GAUGAACGCUGGCGGCGUGCCUAAUACAUGCAAGUCGAGCGAACAGAUAAGGAGCUUGCUCCUUUGACGUUAGCGGCGGACGGGUGAGUAACACGUGGGUAACCUAUCUAUAAGACUGGUAUAACUCCGGGAAACCGGGGCUAAUGCCGGAUAACAUGUUGAACCGCAUGGUUCUACAGUGAAAGGCGGCUUUGCUGUCACUUAUAGAUGGACCCGCGCCGUAUUAGCUAGUUGGUGAGGUAACGGCUCACCAAGGCAACGAUACGUAGCCGACCUGAGAGGGUGAUCGGCCACACUGGAACUGAGACACGGUCCAGACUCCUACGGGAGGCAGCAGUAGGGAAUCGUCCGCAAUGGGCGAAAGCCUGACGGAGCAACGCCGCGUGAGUGAUGAAGGUCUUCGGAUCGUAAAACUCUGUUAUUAGGGAAGAACAAAUGCGUAAGGAACUGUGCGCGUCUUGACGGUACCUAAUCAGAAAGCCACGGCUAACUACGUG
This 497-nucleotide ribosomal RNA is filed under the name uncultured bacterium. Its description in RNAcentral is "partial 16S ribosomal RNA". It matches the Rfam family "Bacterial small subunit ribosomal RNA", at positions 28 to 507 of the family's 1533-position model. The record is from RNAcentral.